UUGUUCUCUUUUUUGUGUCAUUAAGGACUAUUCAGCAGCAGAGCACAUGGUCCAUGAGGAUUUGCCUGUUGCAGAAUCAUCAGUUGCUUUUCAACUGCCGGCAAGCUGAACCUGUUAAAACAUGGCAGGUUCCAAAGGGCCUGACUGCUGCUUGCUUUGUCGCCUACUUAAAGUCAGUUUACCCCCAAAUGGAGAGGAGAAACUUUCAGUUCUGCAAAGUUAACCGCCACAGGGUCCUGAUCUCCCUUGAGGAGAAAACCCCUGAACAAUUACGUUCCAGUGGAGUGUUGGGUCGUUCGGCUCUAUAUAUUCGCCCUGAGGUUAAGUAUUGUUCUUUAUUGAAUUUUUCUGUUGUUGUACAAAAUAGAUUAGAUAGAUAGAGAGUGAGUUCCAAGAGAAAAUAAUUAAUGGUGUUUUCCCUUUCUCUGCACAAAAGCAUACAUGAGAAAUUGUCAUGCACUUAGUGAUGUAUUUGAAGUGCACAAUACAAAUAAAUUAUAACUAUUGUUUUGUGUGUAAUCUCACCCUUUAUGCAUCUGGAACAUCAAAUCAGACAAGUGAUGAGGAUGAAGGAAUGCUGGUAAGUUUACUUAACUAAGCUGUUAUUAUCCGUGACAUACAGUAAAUGAAAUAGUACAAUAAACUGGCAAAUAGUAAAU
RNAcentral lists this long non-coding RNA (659 nucleotides) under Gadus morhua (Atlantic cod). Its description in RNAcentral is "lncRNA (ENSGMOG00000028235.1)". Lineage: Eukaryota; Metazoa; Chordata; Actinopteri; Gadiformes; Gadidae. The record is from RNAcentral.